GACGGAGGGGGCAAGCGUUGUUCGGAAUUACUGGGCGUAAAGCGAGUGUAGGCGGUUUGGUAAGUCGGAUGUGAAAGCCCCGGGCUCAACCCGGGAAGUGCACUCGAUACUGCCAAGCUAGAGUAUCGGAGAGGUUGGUGGAAUUCUCGGUGUAGAGGUGAAAUUCGUAGAUAUCGAGAGGAACACCGGUGGCGAAGGCGGCCAACUGGACGAAUACUGACGCUGAGACUCGAAAGCGUGGGGAGCAAACAGG
RNAcentral lists this ribosomal RNA (253 nucleotides) under uncultured bacterium. Its description in RNAcentral is "partial 16S ribosomal RNA". It matches the Rfam family "Bacterial small subunit ribosomal RNA", at positions 524 to 776 of the family's 1533-position model. The record is from RNAcentral.